Molecule: non-coding RNA, 311 nt
Organism: Caretta caretta (loggerhead turtle)
Lineage: Eukaryota; Metazoa; Chordata; Testudines; Cheloniidae
Source: RefSeq, a predicted model, not a curated record
UCUCAGCUGACCAGCCUGCUUGCUUGCAUAAAGCUGUGUUCUGUCUCAUCAUUGAACUGCCACAACUGGCGCCCAAACGUGGGGCCCUCAGCACUCACCUCGCCCGGCAAGGGUUUCAGACGCGUCACUCAUCCGCUUCGUGGAUCCCGGGCUGGUGGACACUGGAGCUGACGUUACGGUGAUUCGUGAUCUGGAGUGGCCGGACCGUUGUGGGUUCCAGCUCGGUGUGUGCGACCGGCACUUAAACAACAUGGCAUGGCACCAGGGGCUGUCGAAUCCCAUACCAGAGUUUCAGCUGACCUUGGAGGAGA